This 490-nucleotide ribosomal RNA is filed under the name uncultured bacterium. RNAcentral describes it as "partial 16S ribosomal RNA". It matches the Rfam family "Bacterial small subunit ribosomal RNA", at positions 29 to 507 of the family's 1533-position model. The record is from RNAcentral.
AGUGAACGCUGGCGGUAGGCCUAACACAUGCAAGUCGAACGGCAGCACAGGAGAGCUUGCUCUCUGGGUGGCGAGUGGCGGACGGGUGAGGAAUACAUCGGAAUCUGCCCAGUCGUGGGGGAUAACGUAGGGAAACUUACGCUACUACCGCAUACGACCUUCGGGUGAAAGAGGGGGAUCGCAAGACCUCUCGCGAUUGGAUGAGCCGAUGUCGGAUUAGCUAGUUGGCGGGGUAAUGGCCCACCAAGGCGACGAUCCGUAGCUGGUCUGAGAGGAUGAUCAGCCACACUGGAACUGAGACACGGUCCAGACUCCUACGGGAGGCAGCAGUGGGGAAUAUUGGACAAUGGGCGCAAGCCUGAUCCAGCCAUACCGCGUGGGUGAAGAAGGCCUUCGGGUUGUAAAGCCCUUUUGUUGGGAAAGAAAUCUUUCAGGCUAAUACCCUGGGAGGAUGACGGUACCCAAAGAAUAAGCACCGGCUAACUUCGUG